UACGUAGGGUUCAAGCGUUGUCCGGAAUUAUUGGGCGUAAAGAGCUCGUAGGCGGUCUGUCGCGUCGGCUGUGAAAACUCGGGGCUCAACUCCGAGCUUGCAGUCGAUACGGGCAGGCUAGAGUUCGGCAGGGGAGACUGGAAUUCCUGGUGUAGCGGUGAAAUGCGCAGAUAUCAGGAGGAACACCGGUGGCGAAGGCGGGUCUCUGGGCCUGUACUGACGCUGAGGAGCGAAAGCGUGGGGAGCGAACAGG
RNAcentral lists this ribosomal RNA (253 nucleotides) under uncultured bacterium. RNAcentral's name for it is "partial 16S ribosomal RNA". It matches the Rfam family "Bacterial small subunit ribosomal RNA", at positions 524 to 776 of the family's 1533-position model. The record is from RNAcentral.